This 433-nucleotide ribosomal RNA is filed under the name uncultured bacterium. RNAcentral's name for it is "partial 16S ribosomal RNA". It matches the Rfam family "Bacterial small subunit ribosomal RNA", at positions 29 to 507 of the family's 1533-position model. The record is from RNAcentral.
AACGAACGCUGGCGGCAUGCCUAACACAUGCAAGUCGAACGAGACCUUCGGGUCUAGUGGCGCACGGGUGCGUAACGCGUGGGAACCUGCCCUUAGGUUCGGAAUAACUCCCCGAAAGGGGUGCUAAUACCGGAUAAUGUCUUCGGACCAAAGAUUUAUCGCCUUUGGAUGGGCCCGCGUUGGAUUAGCUAGUUGGUAGGGUAAAAGCCUAACAAGGCGACGAUCAAUAGCUGGUCUGAGAGGAUGAUCAGCCACACUGGGACUGAGACACGGCCCAGACUCCUACGGGAGGCAGCAGUGGGGAAUAUUGGACAAUGGGCGAAAGCCUGAUCCAGCAAUGCCGCGUGAGUGAUGAAGGCCUUAGGGUUGUAAAGCUCUUUUACCCGGGAUGAUAAUGACAGUACCGGGAGAAUAAGCUCCGGCUAACUCCGUG